GGUCCACUACUAGCUAGAUUUGGAACCCAAUGGAUCACACACUUUGAGAUUUAACUUUAAUCUAAUUUAUUUAGAAUUUAAUAUAAAUUUUAUAGGUUAAUUUGAUAUGCUAGCAUAUUGUAUUAACCUAAGUUUCUAAAUUGGUUUGGUUCAAAGUGUUUGAGCUAACCUAAACUAGUUGCCUUUGAUCCAAUGGGAUUGGGUCAAUUUAAAUUAGAACCUUAUCCAACUUGAAUUAGUUUUAAGUGGAGAAGGACUCCUCUGUGCCCACUAGAAGUCACACAAAAAAUAAAUGCCACCUCAUCUCAAAUUAGCAUGUGAAAUGGAGAGUCCUUCUUAAAGAAGGCUCUUAAUUAAAUGCAUUGCCUUAAAAGAUAAACCAGAUAUCCAUUCAUU
This 396-nucleotide long non-coding RNA is filed under the name Elaeis guineensis (African oil palm). RNAcentral describes it as "long non-coding RNA (EGUI_LNC071253)". The record is from RNAcentral. Lineage: Eukaryota; Viridiplantae; Streptophyta; Magnoliopsida; Arecales; Arecaceae.